This 463-nucleotide ribosomal RNA is filed under the name uncultured bacterium. Its description in RNAcentral is "bacterial SSU rRNA". It matches the Rfam family "Bacterial small subunit ribosomal RNA", at positions 340 to 786 of the family's 1533-position model. The record is from RNAcentral.
UACGGGAGGCAGCAGUGGGGAAUAUUGCACAAUGGGCGAAAGCCUGAUGCAGCUAUGCCGCGUGUAUGAAGAAGGCCUUAGGGUUGUAAAGUACUUUCAUCGGGGAGGAAAAAACAAAACUAAUAAUUUUAUUUCUUGACGUUACCCGAAAAAGAAGCACCGGCUAACUCCGUGCCAGCAGCCGCGGUAAUACGGAGGGUGCUAGCGUUAAUCAGAAUUACUGGGCGUAAAGAGCACGUAGGUGGUUUUUUUAAGUCAGAUGUGAAAUCCCUGGGCUUAACCUAGGAACUGCAUUUUGAAACUGAAAUACUAGAGUAUCGUAGAGGGAGGUAGAAUUCUAGGUGUAGCGGUGAAAUGCGUAGAUAUCUGGAGGAAUACCUGUGGCGAAAGCGGCCUCCUAAAACGAAUAACUGACAACUGAGGGUGCGAAAAGCGUGGGGGAGCAAAACAGGGAUUAGAUACC